RNAcentral lists this ribosomal RNA (548 nucleotides) under uncultured bacterium. Its description in RNAcentral is "bacterial SSU rRNA". It matches the Rfam family "Bacterial small subunit ribosomal RNA", at positions 355 to 896 of the family's 1533-position model. The record is from RNAcentral.
UGGGGAAUUUUGGACAAUGGGCGCAAGCCUGAUCCAGCCAUGCCGCGUGCGGGAAGAAGGCCUUCGGGUUGUAAACCGCUUUUGUCAGGGAAGAAAUCUUCUGGGUUAAUACCUCGGGAGGAUGACGGUACCUGAAGAAUAAGCACCGGCUAACUACGUGCCAGCAGCCGCGGUAAUACGUAGGGUGCAAGCGUUAAUCGGAAUUACUGGGCGUAAAGCGUGCGCAGGCGGUUAUGCAAGACAGAUGUGAAAUCCCCGGGCUCAACCUGGGAACUGCAUUUGUGACUGCAUGGCUAGAGUGCGGCAGGGGGGGAUGGAAUUCCGCGUGUAGCAGUGAAAUGCGUAGAUAUGCGGAGGAACACCGAUGGCGAAGGCAAUCCCCUGGGCCUGCACUGACGCUCAUGCACGAAAGCGUGGGGAGCAAACAGGAUUAGAUACCCUGGUAGUCCACGCCCUAAACGAUGUCAACUGGUUGUUGGGAAGGUUCCUUCUCAGUAACGUAGCUAACGCGUGAAGUUGACCGCCUGGGGAGUACGGCCGCAAGGUUG